This 253-nucleotide ribosomal RNA is filed under the name uncultured bacterium. RNAcentral's name for it is "partial 16S ribosomal RNA". It matches the Rfam family "Bacterial small subunit ribosomal RNA", at positions 524 to 776 of the family's 1533-position model. The record is from RNAcentral.
UACGUAGGGGGCAAGCGUUGUCCGGAUUUAUUGGGCGUAAAGAGCGUGUAGGCGGCCGUGUAGGUCCGUUGUGAAAACUCGAGGCUCAACCUCGAGACGUCGAUGGAAACCACACGGCUAGAGUCCGGAAGAGGAGAGUGGAAUUCCUGGUGUAGCGGUGAAAUGCGUAGAGAUCAGGAGGAACACCUGUGGUGUAGACAGCUUACUGGACGGUCACUGACGCUGAGGCACGAAAGCGUGGGUAGCAAACAGG